RNAcentral lists this transfer RNA (69 nucleotides) under Camelus bactrianus (Bactrian camel). It matches the Rfam family "tRNA". Rfam says of the family: Transfer RNA (tRNA) molecules are approximately 80 nucleotides in length. Their secondary structure includes four short double-helical elements and three loops (D, anti-codon, and T loops). Lineage: Eukaryota; Metazoa; Chordata; Mammalia; Artiodactyla; Camelidae. RNAcentral also lists the same sequence under 2 other names. The record is from Rfam by way of RNAcentral.
GUGGUUACAGCUCAGUAAGUAGAGUGCCUGCUUGGCAUGCAGGCCUGGGUUCAAACCCCAGUACCUUCA